Molecule: transfer RNA, 92 nt
Filed under: Candidatus Peregrinibacteria bacterium
Lineage: Bacteria; Candidatus Peregrinibacteriota
Also listed under: 1 other name
Description: tRNA-Ser
Rfam family: tRNA
About the family: Transfer RNA (tRNA) molecules are approximately 80 nucleotides in length. Their secondary structure includes four short double-helical elements and three loops (D, anti-codon, and T loops).
Source: RNAcentral
GGAGAGAUACUCAAGUGGCUGAAGAGGCGGCUUUGCUAAAGCUGUAGUGGGGUUUUACCCCAGCGGGGGUUCGAAUCCCCCUCUCUCCGCCA